UUUUUGGAAAUAAGCCCCACCCUAGUGCGUCGUGUAUCAGAAAAGUUUAGGAACCCUUGUAUUGAGGUAUCCUUAGAGAAAAUCAUGUAUGCAGGGCUGGUUGUGUUUGAAAAAAAAAAUAAAAAGAGAAACAAGAGGUAAAAUUGCCAUAUUUUUAUGAUUUGCCGCUUGUAUUAUUGUAUGUAUUUUUUCAAGAUGUUUUCCAGCAGGGUUGUUAACGUUAAUCAACGAUAAACGCCGUUAACGUUGAUUGUGCUCUGGAUCAACGUCAACGGCGUUGCGUUAGUUUUCAUUGUUGUUAGCGUCAACGUUAACGUGUUUGCGUUAAAUCAACGUCAACGAACACCGCUAACCCAAGCAUUGAUUUUAUGAUUCGUAUAGGUACUCCGAGAAUGUUUCUAAACUUCAAUAAACAACACGUUUCUAUGCCAAUACCUUGUAUCCAUGGAAAAUUGAUGAAAAAAAUCUAAGUUUACAGUGCAUUGCAAUUAUUUGGCAUCCAACAGUCAGCCUAUUUGAACGUCAGUUUGUGAUUAUUUGGGAGAACUUUUACAAAUUGCAAAGAUUUUCUUAGCAAUAAUGUACCCUAAGACCUCUCGCCGUUCCAGUAAGCCACAACAAAGGGCUGAAAUCUUUACCAGAAAGCGGCUUCCUCUGCCUCCAGCCAGCACACGGCGUCCUAUUUUUACCCAUCCACCAACCAAAUGUUUCUGAGUAACCGCCCCCAGGAUGACCCGACUUGUCAUUUCCAAAUACAACUUGUUAUUAUACCCUAACAUACCAUGGCAGACACAAGUUUUCAUAGCAAUCGAAAGUGGAAAUGGUCGUAGAGCAAAUUAUCCCACUUCCGAGAUUGUGGAGCUCUAAUUUGAACAGCAUUUUUCACCAAACCCGACUACGAGAAAGUCAGUUAACAUUCUAUAAAACCUGUAAUGAGAUCAAGCUUUUUUGUUUCUUCUUCCAAAUAAUUGUUUUUGAACAUGACAUGUUGAAGUGUCGUAAGUUUUAUAUUUUUUUAGAUAUUAGAAUCAUCAAAUCGUUAACGUUAGAAAUAACGAAGUCGUUGACGUUAAAUCAACGCUGUACGUUAACGUUAUCGUUAAAUUGUUUUUCAACGCAAUCAACGCAAUCAACGCAAGCUUCGGUAACCGUUACAGGUUAACGUCAACGAAUUAACGAAACGGCGUUAAUCGUUGAUUAACGUUAACAACCCUGUUUUCCAUGAUUUUCAUCAAAAGCAAAUAUAGGUGUUUGCCUAUAGAAUUCAUUUCUUGAUUCUCUGAGAAAUAGACUUUUUGAAGAAUAACAUACUCUAGAGCAGCAUGCUGCCUUUGCCUCUUUGCGAAGCAAUCAGAGAGUCAACGAAAAAAGAGCGAAUCUUUUUUGCUAGUUCGUCCAAGAUUUCAGUUUAGAAAAUUUUCGAGAAAACAAACAAUAAUUUCUCCAGAGAAAGUUCCCCUGAUUUACUCCAGCAUUGUCAUUCAUUUUUUACAAAGAUUUCAACCAAGAAUUUCUCUGAGGUUACCUUUAAAAGUUACUUCAGAGAUUCGUUGCAUGAUUUUUCACAGAAAGUAGCAGAAAUGCGUUCAGCUAUAUUCCAAGGAAGUUCUCAAAGAAAUUUCCCGAGAUUUGUUUUGUAGGGAAUUGUCAAUGACAUUUUUCAAUACGUUAUAGGAGUAAUCUCUGAUGAAACUUUUGUAGAAAUUCCUGAUGAAAUUUUGCGGGGAUUUCUGAAAAACUACCUGAUUUCUAAGAAUGUCUUGAUGUAUUUGUAGUGAUUGGAUAAUAAAUUGAAUCACCUGGAUAUAAUCCUGUAGGAUUUCUACUUGCAUUCCUUGAAGAACAUUGAACAGAAUCUCCUAAGAAACUUGUGUAAAAAUGGGAAUAAUUGAUGUAGUGGUUGCUGGUGUAAAACCUCAAAUGAAAUAUUGAAAAAUGCAAGGAGAUUUGAAUUGGAAAAUUACUUAAGAAGUUUUUGGAAGAACUGCAGGAUUAAUUCGUGCAUAAAUGUUGGGCAAAAUUACUGAUAAAUAAUGGUCAAAUUUAUUGAGUUCCUCUAUACAGAAGAGUUUUAUGUUUCUUAGAAUAGUCCAAGGUAUCUAAAAGGGAGGUAAUACAAUAUGUCAAAUUGCUAAACCCGCCAUAUUGGAUAAGCAUACGACAACUGGCCACUUUGUUUUCAUGGAAUCAUCCAGCAUGCCAUGAAAUCUAGUCUGCUUUUUUUUCUGCACAGUUUGUUUUAUUUGGUACACGAACUGAAACGUCAUGGAUACUACAAUGGAAGUAAAAAAUUGUACAGAAAUCAGUUGGAAGCUUUCUAGGAUAAUGAAGUUCUUUUAUAGGGCACCCUCAAUUGGUUUUGUCAAUCUAAUGCUUGGGAUUUCCUAACUGUAGAAGAAGUUGCAUCGGACAGAGAUAACCGGAGAAAUAGAAUGUGAGCAAGUUUCACCGAGAAACGACUACGAAAGUUCAAUGCCUAAACACGACCCGAUCAAUUAAAUACUAUUUGGUUUAUUCCAUUGGUUCAUCAAUAACAUUAAUUUGUUUCAUCACCGUUAGUCUUAGAUGUUUUAUCUAGUGUUAAGAUUUCUAUCCAGGCAAAUAAAAAUGAAUGAACUGCAACAAUGCUUUAAAUGAA
Molecule: long non-coding RNA, 2638 nt
Filed under: Aedes aegypti (yellow fever mosquito)
Lineage: Eukaryota; Metazoa; Arthropoda; Insecta; Diptera; Culicidae
Description: lncRNA AAEL020839
Source: RNAcentral